RNAcentral lists this long non-coding RNA (673 nucleotides) under Homo sapiens (human). RNAcentral describes it as "non-protein coding LINC01615:4". The record is from RNAcentral. Lineage: Eukaryota; Metazoa; Chordata; Mammalia; Primates; Hominidae.
GAGGAUGGGAAGAUGAGAAGUGCUUGUCGCAGGCCUGGAGAUGGGGACCACCCAGGCAUGCAGGGGAUGCUGCCUCUCCUCCAUCCAACAACAAGCCUGCGUGUGCCCAGCCCCCUCUGGUACACGCAUUGCUCCCCAUCCUCGGCAUUGAUCAAUUGAAAAUAAGACCUUGGAAGAACCCCUUGCAAAGCUGACAUUGUACGAGCCAAGGCAGUGAGCCUCACAGGGUCAGGGGGAAGACAGGGGAUCCCGAAGAUAACGUCUGCUACGAACUCAAUUGCAUCCGCCCCGGGCCCUAAGUUGAAGCCCUAAUCCCCACGUUGACUGCAUUUGGAGAAGGACCUUCAGCACAUGAUGGAGGUGGCCCCGGAGAGGGUCAGCGAGGGGCCUCCACUGUCUGAGUCCGCUCCUGGCAACGCCUGCUCUCUGCACUCAGAGGCCCGGUCCCGGCAGCUGCCACGUUGCUCAGAAGUUCUGGCAGGGGGAGCCUGAAACCCCUGUCUGCUGGCGACACUCCCGGAGCAGCAGGAAAUCUCUACAUUUUAUUUUUUUUCUUAACAGACAAAAGUAUUUGACUCCAGAAUGAUUUCCAGGAAUUACAGUAUGAGAACUUAGUCUUUGAGAUUUUUAUUUUCUUCUUAAAAAAAUAAAAAUGAAAUCAAAGCAGAAGACA